RNAcentral lists this ribosomal RNA (500 nucleotides) under uncultured bacterium. RNAcentral's name for it is "partial 16S ribosomal RNA". It matches the Rfam family "Bacterial small subunit ribosomal RNA", at positions 30 to 523 of the family's 1533-position model. The record is from RNAcentral.
AUUGAACGCUGGCGGCAUGCCUUACACAUGCAAGUCGAACGGAUUUGAGGGGCUUGCUCCUCAAGUUAGUGGCGAACGGGUGAGUAAUACAUCGGAACGUACCCAGUUGUGGGGGAUAACGUAGCGAAAGUUACGCUAAUACCGCAUACGCACUGAGGUGGAAAGCGGGGGACCUUCGGGCCUCGCGCAAUUGGAGCGGCCGAUGUCGGAUUAGCUAGUUGGUGGGGUAAAGGCCUACCAAGGCGACGAUCCGUAGCUGGUCUGAGAGGACGACCAGCCACACUGGAACUGAGACACGGUCCAGACUCCUACGGGAGGCAGCAGUGGGGAAUUUUGGACAAUGGGCGAAAGCCUGAUCCAGCCAUGCCGCGUGAGUGAAGAAGGCCUUCGGGUUGUAAAGCUCUUUCAGACGGAAAGAAAUCUUUCGGGUGAAUAUCCCGGGAGGAUGACGGUACCGUAAGAAGAAGCACCGGCUAACUACGUGCCAGCCGCCGCGGUAA